CCCUUAGAUGUCCUGGGCCGCACGCGCGUUACACUGAUGCAUUCAACGAGCUUAUAACCUUGGCCGAGAGGCCUGGGCAAUCUUGUUAACGUGCAUCGUGAUAGGGAUAGAUUAUUGAAAUUAUUAAUCUUGAACGAGGAAUUCCUAGUAAACGCAGAUCAUCAAUCUGCAUUGAUUACGUCCCUGCCCUUUGUACACACCGCCCGUCGCACCUACCGAUUGAACGUUUUAGUGAGCUCCUCGGAUUGUCAGCCUGGCGGUUAAUCCUGCCUGGCUAGCGAAAAGACGAGCAAACUUGAGCGUUUAGAGGAAGUAAAAGUCGUAACA
Molecule: ribosomal RNA, 327 nt
Filed under: uncultured eukaryote
Lineage: Eukaryota
Description: partial 18S ribosomal RNA
Rfam family: Eukaryotic small subunit ribosomal RNA
Source: RNAcentral